UCUCAGUUCGGACUGUGGUCUGCAACCCGACCACACGAAGCUGGAAUCGCUAGUAAUCGCGAAUCAGAAUGUCGCGGUGAAUACGUUCCCGGGUCUUGUACACACCGCCCGUCACACCAUGGGAGUUGGUAACGCCCGAAGUCGGUAGUCUAACCGCAAGGAGGACGCCGCCGAAGGUGGGGUUGAUGAUUAGGGUUAAGUCGUAACAAGGUAAC
Molecule: ribosomal RNA, 215 nt
Filed under: uncultured bacterium
Lineage: Bacteria
Description: partial 16S ribosomal RNA
Rfam family: Bacterial small subunit ribosomal RNA
Source: RNAcentral